CUGCUGCCUUCCGUAGGAGUCUGGUCCGUGUCUCAGUACCAGCGUGGGGGACCUUCCUCUCAGAACCCCUACGCAUCGUCGCCUCGGUGGGCCGUUACCCCGCCGACUAGCUAAUGCGCCGCAUGCCCAUCCCCCGCCGGAAUCGCUUCCUUUGGCCGCAGACCCAUGCAGGUCCGCGGCGUUACGCGGUAUUAGUCGGGAUUUCUCCCGGUUAUCCCCCUGCGGGGGGCAGGUCGCAUACGUGUUACUCACCCGUGCGCCGGUCGCCGG
Molecule: ribosomal RNA, 270 nt
Filed under: uncultured bacterium
Lineage: Bacteria
Description: partial 16S ribosomal RNA
Source: RNAcentral